This is a long non-coding RNA of Amphiprion ocellaris (clown anemonefish), 559 nucleotides long. NCBI's taxonomy places the organism in Eukaryota, Metazoa, Chordata, Actinopteri, Pomacentridae. The record is from Ensembl.
CUUAAUUCAGGCUCAAUGGACAGAUAUGUUGAUCCAAGAGGAUACAGAAGAGAUCGUGGGGGAGAUCAUGGAUGAACUGUUGAGUAAGGUCAUGGAAGGCUGUUUAAAGGUGGACAUUGAAAGACAGCUAAUACCUUUCUGCGCAUCCUGGGCCAAGAACUACCUCACGCAGAUUGUAGAGCGCCAAUUCUUGUGCCUAGAUGAGGGAGAAGGACCAGACGAAGCCUCUAAAACAAAAGACUCUGAGCCUAUGCCAGGAACUCCAGAUGCUUGGGCUGAAGGAUGUGUGCCUGUUAUAAAUGCAACCCUUGGACAUCAUCUCACCUCACAAAAGGAGGCUGACAAUGGCCAGGUCCCACUACAAACAGAGCCAAGGGUCAACCACCAAUGUCAUGUCAUGCCCCAAAUGGAAUGCUCUUCAAGACAAACUAAGAAAGAAACAAGUCCCCAGAGGCUUGUCACAGACAUUAGAAAGCAUUAUAAAGUGGUUGAUCCUUGCACUCCACCAAAGACUGAUCAAAAGAAAAGGCAGCAGGUUAAUUCGCCUCCAAAACAUUUU